AAGCUGCCCCACUGGAGACUCAGCCAGCAGCCAGCACCAGCCACACAGCACACGAGUGAAGAAGCCUUCAGAAGAUUCCAGGCCCAGCCUCUGAGCCAACCCUGCUGACGCCAGCUGGAGUAGAGCUGAGCUGUCUCCACCAGGCCUGCCCAAAUUGCACAUUCACGCACGCAAUAAGUGUCGCUAUUUUAGGUCAUGACGUCGUGGGGUAGUGUGUUGUGCAGCAAGAGAUAACUGGAAUAAUAACCUUGAAUCCCAGCCCUGCCCUUACCAGCUGUGUGGGCUUGACACAGUUGCUGAACCUCUCUGAGUCUUUGUCUUCAACUGUGGAAUAAAAAUAAGGAUACCCAUUAUGAAGUGUCCUCAGGAGAAAUCCUCGUAACACACAGAAGUGCCAACUCCCUUGUGAAGGGUCGCACAGACAGCGAGCAGACACAUGGAAGCUGGAGCCUGAGUUACCCAGGGACGUAGAGAUGCGGCUCCCGGCCCGUCUGCAGAAGCGUGGAGAGGAGCUUGCUCGUCCGCAGCCGAAGGGGAGUGGGACUGAGGUAGGCUGGCCCGGAGGCUUCCUGCUUUAUCACUGCCCUGUGGGGUCUUUCCCUCUGGCCCUGCUUCUUACUGCAACCACACAACCGAGCCCGGACAUGUGGCCUCAUCAGCCGCCUGGGACUUUAACUCCUGCGCGGAGUGACUUGAGGUUGGGAGGACUGGUGGAGUCGCUCCUUCCACAGGCAGGGCCCCGACAAUCACGUAGCUGCCGGUUUGAUUCCUGCCUGACCCCCAGCCUGGCUCUCUAGCCUUUAUGUCAAUUCUCUGAUCCCUAAUAAUCUCCCAAUAAAUCCUCCUUUUACGCGAGUACCAAAGAACCUAAUGGAGAACCAGAUGAAGAGGGGAUGGAUCAGCUAGCUGCUGCUGUGGAACAAAGCACCCCCCAAAAUCUGUGGAUUCCAACAAGCAAUUAUUUCUCACAAUUCUGUGGGUCUACUGGGAAGCUCUUCUUCUGGACUAGCCCAUCUGGGGCUGGAAGGUCUAGCAUGGCCUCCUGUGCUGUCUGGCCGUCUCUGCUGGGAUGGCCCAUCUCUAUCUCACGCGGACUCCCGUCCUCCGGUGGGCCAGCUCGGCUCAUUCACAUGGUGGUCUCAAAGUCCCAAACAGCACGUGCUUUGCAAGCCUCUGCCUGGGUCCCAUUGACCAGAGCAAGUCGCACGGCUGGGCCCCGAGUCAAGGUGAG
RNAcentral lists this long non-coding RNA (1231 nucleotides) under Equus asinus (donkey). RNAcentral's name for it is "lncRNA (ENSEASG00005034307.1)". The record is from RNAcentral. Lineage: Eukaryota; Metazoa; Chordata; Mammalia; Perissodactyla; Equidae.